AGCAGCCGCGGUAAUUCCAGCUCCAAUAGCGUAUAUUAAAGUUGUUGCAGUUAAAAAGCUCGUAGUUGAAUUUCGGGGUUCUACCGUUGGUCGGGCUAACCAGUCUGUACUAGCGUGUAAAAUUCCUACCUUCUGGAGAACCAUCAUGUUAUUAAUUUAGCGUGGUGGGAAACCAGGACCUUUACCUUGAAAAAAUUAGAGCGUUCAAAGCAGGCUUACGUCUGAAUACAUUAGCAUGGAAUAAUAGAAUAGGACGGUGGUCCUGUUUUGUUGGUUUCUGAAUCACCGUAAUGAUUAAUAGGGAUAGUUGGGGGCAUUAGUAUUCAAUUGUCAGAGGUGAAAUUCUUGGAUUUAUUGAAGACUAACUUCUGCGAAAGCAUUUGCCAAGGAUGUUUUCAUUAAUCAAGAACGAAAGUUAGGGGAUCGAAGACGAUCAGAUACCGUCGUAGUCUUAACCAUAAACUAUGCCGACUAGGGAUCGGACGAUGUUAAAUUAUUGACUCG
Molecule: ribosomal RNA, 504 nt
Filed under: uncultured Scutellospora
Lineage: Eukaryota; Fungi; Glomeromycota; Glomeromycetes; Diversisporales; Gigasporaceae
Description: SSU rRNA
Rfam family: Eukaryotic small subunit ribosomal RNA
Source: RNAcentral